Molecule: ribosomal RNA, 565 nt
Filed under: Beauveria bassiana
Lineage: Eukaryota; Fungi; Ascomycota; Sordariomycetes; Hypocreales; Cordycipitaceae
Description: partial 18S ribosomal RNA
Rfam family: 5.8S ribosomal RNA (bases 209-362)
Source: RNAcentral
AAGUCGUAACAAGGUCUCCGUUGGUGAACCAGCGGAGGGAUCAUUACCGAGUUUUCAACUCCCUAACCCUUCUGUGAACCUACCUAUCGUUGCUUCGGCGGACUCGCCCCAGCCCGGACGCGGACUGGACCAGCGGCCCGCCGGGGACCUCAAACUCUUGUAUUCCAGCAUCUUCUGAAUACGCCGCAAGGCAAAACAAAUGAAUCAAAACUUUCAACAACGGAUCUCUUGGCUCUGGCAUCGAUGAAGAACGCAGCGAAACGCGAUAAGUAAUGUGAAUUGCAGAAUCCAGUGAAUCAUCGAAUCUUUGAACGCACAUUGCGCCCGCCAGCAUUCUGGCGGGCAUGCCUGUUCGAGCGUCAUUUCAACCCUCGACCUCCCCUUGGGGGGGUCGGCGUUGGGGACCGGCAGCACACCGCCGGCCCUGAAAUGGAGUGGCGGCCCGUCCGCGGCGACCUCUGCGCAGUAAUACAGCUCGCACCGGAACCCCGACGCGGCCACGCCGUAAAACACCCAACUUCUGAACGUUGACCUCGAAUCAGGUAGGACUACCCGCUGAACUUAA